CCUAGUACGAGAGGACCGGAGUGGACGCAUCACUGGUGUUCGGGUUGUCAUGCCAAUGGCACUGCCCGGUAGCUAAAUGCGGAAGAGAUAAGUGCUGAAAGCAUCUAAGCACGAAACUUGCCGAGACAGUUCGGUCCCUAUCUGCCGUGGGCGCUGGAGAAUUGAGGGGGGCUGCUCCUAGUACGAGAGGACCGGAGUGGACGCAUCACUGGUGUUCGGGUUGUCAUGCCAAUGGCACUGCCCGGUAGCUAAAUGCGGAAGAGAUAAGUGCUGAAAGCAUCUAAGCACGAAACUUGCCCCGAGAUGAGUUCUCCCUGAGACUAUAAGUCUCCUGAAGGAACGUUAAAGACGAUGACGUUGAUAGGCCGGGUGUGUAAGCGCAGCGAUGCGUUGAGCUAACCGGUACUAAUGAACCGUGAGGCUUAACCUUACAACGCCGAAG
Molecule: ribosomal RNA, 442 nt
Filed under: Klebsiella pneumoniae
Lineage: Bacteria; Pseudomonadati; Pseudomonadota; Gammaproteobacteria; Enterobacterales; Enterobacteriaceae
Description: partial 23S ribosomal RNA
Rfam family: Bacterial large subunit ribosomal RNA
Source: RNAcentral